Long non-coding RNA from Acanthopagrus latus (yellowfin seabream), 1614 nucleotides. RefSeq lists it as uncharacterized. The record is from RefSeq and is a predicted model, not a curated record. NCBI's taxonomy places the organism in Eukaryota, Metazoa, Chordata, Actinopteri, Spariformes, Sparidae. The transcript has 2 exons.
UCAAUUUAGAGGAGCCAUCCGACGCGGAAACUGCUUCAGUCUCGUCUCCCGCAUCGAACCCAAAACUAACGAGCGGCAUUUUUUAAAAAACUGGUGACUUGUUUGUUUAAAUUGUGUUUUACAUGACUUGGACGGCGAGGCUCUGAGAGUUGCCAAAGUUGGAUUUACUUUUCUUUUUUUUUUUCCCCCCUCUUCUCUCUCGCCACCUCAGACAGUCCCAGCGGUGGUUCAUUUUACACCAAUUAUGUCUUUAUUCUAAAACAAAUUAGCCCAAUUACAGUUCGUCUGCAUGACUAUUUUCUCUGUUUUUUUUAUCUUUAAUUUUUAUUUACAGAUCCCCGUGAAGGUGGAGAGGUCUGUAAAUAAAUAAAAAAAAUAAUAUAUAUAUAUGUGUAACAUCGCGAGGUAUCACGCUCCAACCGUGGGGGACCCGGCUCUCUGCUUCAGCAUCGGCUGCUGAAGACCCGCGUAGAUGACGUGUACGCGGUGGUUUUGCUCGAGGCGGCAGCAGCAGCACUGUAGCAGCGAUGACCAGGAGGUCAAUGGUUUAACUCCGAGGACUUGCUGGGAAAGUCUGGGUAGGGGAAUUGUGUGAUAAGUGCUCUCUAACCCUCAGGAAACCACUGCUGAAGUACCCUUCGGCAAAGCAGCUUACACCCCAUCUGUCCCAGAGGAACUGCACAGCGACCGGCGGUACAAGACUGCGGUUGUACUUGUGAGAUGUGUCUCUUUGAGUGUGACCUACCCUCCCUUUUUUCUUUUUUAAAGAGGCAGAGUGGGCAGUCCAGUCGCCUCACAUGUUUCUCUUUUGUUUUUUUUUUUGUUUUUUUUUGUUCAUGUACUCAGACAGUGAAAAAAGUUAGGGAGAAGAUACAAGAGUGAAAGCUGUGGCAGCACUCAGUCCCGAGGCCAGACAUGGCUCACAUGUGGCCCCAAAGGCAGCAGACAGUGUAUUGAAUUACUGUAACUGAAGGUGUAAUGUGGUAGCAGUGUGGGAGACGGAUACAUUACACAAGCGGAUGUAGGAGAGGCUUAUUUCAGCUUUCUAUUACAGCUAUUUAAUGUUGGAUCGUAUGGUUUAUUUUCUCAACUUUCAGCCAGAACAAUUUAUUAGUAAUAACGGCAGCCUUGUUUUUUUUUGUUUUGUUUUUUUAAUAGUCAACAUUAAUAUGUCAUUAUCAUUGGAUUUACUUAUUAUCUCAAAAUGAUAUCGCCGCGUGAAAACGCUGCACUCCUAGGAUUUUCGUGUACAGCUUGAAGGACACGGAACGGCACGAUGGGGAAAACACCUCCAGCCGUGUUCCGUCCUCCGUCAAGAUGUUGGACUUUUGGAAACACUUUGCCUGUGAUAUGUACAAUUAUAAGAUGAUUAAUAAAGAACUGCUGUUUGAAAUGAUAGUGGUUAAAUGAGUGGUGCUUUGCAUAAUUGCAGUUUACAGUGUUACACCUGCCACAUCUAUGACUAAUAAAGUUGAAAAGGCUCCGAUGAACUGUGUUUAAACUGACUUUCUUUACACAGAACAUCAUGUUGUACACUUGAUUUAUCUUUUGCAGUUUUACAACAACAUCUUACUGUAAAUGUGCCAAUAAAGCUUGUUUUUUUUCCAACUUGAA